AGAGUUUGAUCCUGGCUCAGGAUGAACGCUGGCGGCGUGCUUAACACAUGCAAGUCGAACGCACCUUCGGGUGAGUGGCGGACGGGUGAGUAACGCGUGAGAAUCUGCCCUCAGGAGGGGGAUAACGGCUGGAAACGGCCGCUAAUACCCCAUAUGCCGCGAGGUGAAACGAGUUUUCGCCUGAGGAUGAGCUCGCGUCUGAUUAGCUAGUUGGUAGGGUAAGAGCCUACCAAGGCAUCGAUCAGUAGCUGGUCUGAGGGGAUGAUCAGCCACACUGGGACUGAGACAUGGCCCAGACUCCUACGGGAGGCAGCAGUGGGGAAUUUUCCGCAAUGGGCGAAAGCCUGACGGAGCAACGCCGCGUGAGGGAUGAAGGCCUCUGGGCUGUAAACCUCUUUUCUCAAGGAAGAAGAUCUGACGGUACUUGAGGAAUAAGCCACGGCUAAUUCCGUGCCAGCAGCCGCGGUAAUACGGGAGUGGCAAGCGUUAUCCGGAAUUAUUGGGCGUAAAGCGUCCGCAGGCGGUCUUGAAAGUCUGUUGUUAAAGCGUGGAGCUUAACUCCAUUUCAGCAAUGGAAACUAGAAGACUAGAGUGUGGUAGGGGCAGAGGGAAUUCCCGGUGUAGCGGUGAAAUGCGUAGAUAUCGGGAAGAACACCAGUGGCGAAGGCGCUCUGCUGGGCCAUAACUGACGCUCAUGGACGAAAGCCAGGGGAGCGAAAGGGAUUAGAUACCCCUGUAGUCCUGGCCGUAAACGAUGAACACUAGGUGUCGGGGGAAUCGACCCCCUCGGUGUCGUAGCCAACGCGUUAAGUGUUCCGCCUGGGGAGUACGCACGCAAGUGUGAAACUCAAAGGAAUUGACGGGGGCCCGCACAAGCGGUGGAGUAUGUGGUUUAAUUCGAUGCAACGCGAAGAACCUUACCAGGGUUUGACAUCCUGCGAAUCCCUUGGAAACGAGGGAGUGCCUUCGGGAGCGCAGAGACAGGUGGUGCAUGGCUGUCGUCAGCUCGUGUCGUGAGAUGUUGGGUUAAGUCCCGCAACGAGCGCAACCCACGUCUUUAGUUGCCAGCAUUCAGUUGGGCACUCUAGAGAGACCGCCGGUGAUAAACCGGAGGAAGGUGUGGAUGACGUCAAGUCAUCAUGCCCCUUACAUCCUGGGCUACACACGUACUACAAUGCUACGGACAAAGGGCAGCAAACUCGCGAGAGCUAGCAAAUCCCAUAAACCGUGGCUCAGUUCAGAUCGUAGGCUGCAACUCGCCUACGUGAAGGAGGAAUCGCUAGUAAUCGCAGGUCAGCAUACUGCGGUGAAUACGUUCCCGGGCCUUGUACACACCGCCCGUCACACCAUGGAAGUUGGCCACGCCCGAAGUCGUUACUCCAACCCUUGUGGAGGAGGACGCCGAAGGUGGGGCUGAUGACUGGGGUGAAGUCGUAACAAGGUA
RNAcentral lists this ribosomal RNA (1444 nucleotides) under metagenome. RNAcentral describes it as "bacterial SSU rRNA". It matches the Rfam family "Bacterial small subunit ribosomal RNA". The record is from RNAcentral.